Molecule: ribosomal RNA, 408 nt
Filed under: uncultured microorganism
Description: bacterial SSU rRNA
Rfam family: Bacterial small subunit ribosomal RNA
Source: RNAcentral
CAGCAGCCGCGGUAAUACGUAGGGUGCGAGCGUUACUCGGAUUUACUGGGCGUAAAGCGUGCGCAGGCGGCCCGUUAAGACAGGUGUGAAAUCCCUGGGCUCAACCUAGGAAUUGCGCUUGUGACUGGCGGGCUCGAGUACGGUAGAGGGGGGUGGAAUUCCUGGUGUAGCAGUGAAAUGCGUAGAGAUCAGGAGGAACACCGAUGGCGAAGGCAGCCCCCUGGGCCUGUACUGACGCUCAUGCACGAAAGCGUGGGGAGCAAACAGGAUUAGAUACCCUGGUAGUCCACGCCCUAAACGAUGGGUACUAGCCGUUUGGUGCGCGAUAGCGCGGAGUGGCGAAGCUAACGCGUGAAGUACCCCGCCUGGGGAGUACGGCCGCAAGGUGGAAACUUAAAGGAAUUGGGG